This 90-nucleotide small RNA is filed under the name Salmonella enterica. Its description in RNAcentral is "partial RtT sRNA". It matches the Rfam family "RtT RNA", at positions 41 to 130 of the family's 130-position model. Rfam says of the family: This family represents a bacterial cis-regulatory element known as RtT RNA. The exact function of RtT is unknown although it is thought that it may be involved in changing the cellular response in relation to amino acid starvation. RNAcentral also lists the same sequence under 5 other names. The record is from RNAcentral. Lineage: Bacteria; Pseudomonadati; Pseudomonadota; Gammaproteobacteria; Enterobacterales; Enterobacteriaceae.
GUUCGACUCGAGCGAAGCGAGAGAACGUUGCGUCAGCAACGGCCCGCAGGGCGAGUCACGCAGUGGCGAGUCAUCCUCUAUCACCGACCA